This 1242-nucleotide ribosomal RNA is filed under the name Vibrio parahaemolyticus. RNAcentral describes it as "partial 23S ribosomal RNA". It matches the Rfam family "Bacterial large subunit ribosomal RNA", at positions 1 to 1297 of the family's 2925-position model. Lineage: Bacteria; Pseudomonadati; Pseudomonadota; Gammaproteobacteria; Vibrionales; Vibrionaceae. The record is from RNAcentral.
GGUUAAGUGACUAAGCGUACACGGUGGAUGCCUUGGCAGUCAGAGGCGAUGAAAGACGUAGUAACUUGCGAUAAGCCCAGAUUAGGUAGUAACAACCAUUUGAGUCUGGGAUUUCUGAAUGGGGAAACCCACGUGCAUAAGCACGUAUCCUUACCUGAAUACAUAGGGUAAGGAGGCGAACCGGGGGAACUGAAACAUCUAAGUACCCCGAGGAAAAGAAAUCAACCGAGAUUCCGAAAGUAGCGGCGAGCGAAAUUGGACUAGCCCUUAAGCUUUACACGCGUUAGACGAACGGUCUGGAAAGUCCGACGAUACAGGGUGAUAGUCCCGUAGUUGACGACGUGUGUUCAGUGAAAUCGAGUAGGGCGGGACACGUGAUAUCCUGUCUGAAUAUGGGGGGACCAUCCUCCAAGGCUAAAUACUACUGACUGACCGAUAGUGAACCAGUACCGUGAGGGAAAGGCGAAAAGAACCCCUGUGAGGGGAGUGAAAUAGAACCUGAAACCGUGUACGUACAAGCAGUAGGAGCAGGCUUUGUCCUGUGACUGCGUACCUUUUGUAUAAUGGGUCAGCGACUUAUAUUCAGUGGCAAGGUUAACCAUCUAGGGGAGCCGUAGGGAAACCGAGUCUUAACUGGGCGUUCAGUCUCUGGAUAUAGACCCGAAACCAGGUGAUCUAGCCAUGGGCAGGUUGAAGGUUGAGUAACAUCAACUGGAGGACCGAACCGACUAAUGUUGAAAAAUUAGCGGAUGACUUGUGGCUAGGGGUGAAAGGCCAAUCAAACCUGGAGAUAGCUGGUUCUCCCCGAAAGCUAUUUAGGUAGCGCCUCGGACGAAUACUACUGGGGGUAGAGCACUGUUAAGGCUAGGGGGUCAUCCCGACUUACCAACCCUUUGCAAACUCCGAAUACCAGUAAGUACUAUCCGGGAGACACACGGCGGGUGCUAACGUCCGUCGUGGAGAGGGAAACAACCCAGACCGCCAGCUAAGGUCCCAAAUUACUACUAAGUGGGAAACGAUGUGGGAAGGCUCAGACAGCCAGGAUGUUGGCUUAGAAGCAGCCAUCAUUUAAAGAAAGCGUAAUAGCUCACUGGUCGAGUCGGCCUGCGCGGAAGAUGUAACGGGGCUAAGUAGUAAACCGAAGCUGCGGCAAUGUGCUUUUGCACAUUGGGUAGGGGAGCGUUCUGUAAGCGGUUGAAGGUGUGUGGUAACGCAUGCUGGACGUAUCAGAAGUGCGAAUGC